RNAcentral lists this ribosomal RNA (253 nucleotides) under uncultured bacterium. RNAcentral describes it as "partial 16S ribosomal RNA". It matches the Rfam family "Bacterial small subunit ribosomal RNA", at positions 524 to 776 of the family's 1533-position model. The record is from RNAcentral.
UACGUAGGGGGCAAGCGUUGUCCGGAAUCAUUGGGCGUAAAGAGCGUGUAGGCGGUUCGGUAAGUCGGCUGUGAAAGUCCAGGGCUCAACCCUGGGAUGCCGGUCGAUACUGCCGGACUAGAGUUCGGAAGAGGCGAGUGGAAUUCCCGGUGUAGCGGUGAAAUGCGCAGAGAUCGGGAGGAACACCUAUGGCGAAGGCAGCUCGCUGGGACGUUACUGACGCUGAGACGCGAAAGCGUGGGGAGCGAACAGG